This 929-nucleotide small RNA is filed under the name Pongo abelii (Sumatran orangutan). RNAcentral's name for it is "processed transcript". Lineage: Eukaryota; Metazoa; Chordata; Mammalia; Primates; Hominidae. The record is from RNAcentral.
CAAGCCCAGCACAGACUUCAGUUUCUCCGCCUCCAUCCCCUUUACGAGAAGAGGAGAUUAAAAAAUUUUGCCCUUUAGGUGCUCGUGAUGGUCCUGUGGGUUCGUUCAGUUGCCGGAAAAGAAUGGUAACAUGAACGGCGGAGCGUGAGAGCGUCACCGGGGGAAGGGACGAGAUUGAUGGGCAGAGCGCUCACUUCUCAGAGGAUCGCAUUCCGAGGACCGCGCGAGGAAGGGACGUCGCGGCGCCACCACUUCCUGGCUGGACUCCGCUGACAUCUGUAGCCUCCUUUCCACCAGGUUCCCGGGGCUCCCAGCCGCUCCCUGCAGAGGAGAGUGUAGACAGCGCGCGAGGGUCCAGGAGUUCUUGGACCUCCAUCCGAACCGGAGUUCUGCCCAGAUCCCGAGUCCCUGGAUCCCGGUGGAGCCCGCCGGCAAGCUGGCUCCGGAGGGAGUUGAACUUGAGUUCAGAUGGCCAACUCCCUCUGAAUCCUGCAGAUUGGUGCUGAGCACGCAACAAAAGUUUGUAGCUUCUCAGUUUCUGGUGCUUCGCAGGGGAGAGGAAAGGAAUUUGACAUUAAACACAAGAAGCAGUCAGGGAGCCAUCUCCUUUAACUUUUCUUCUCUGUUACCAUUUGCAAUGAAGAGGAAACAGAAGAGAUUUCUGCAGAUGACUUUGUUGUUCACGGUGGCUUUAAUUUUCCUGCCUAACAUUGGUCUCUGGUCUCUGUACAAGGAUAAGCACCUGGUGAAGUCAGCGGAGCCCGGGGAGCAGCAGUGAAAAAAAGAAGAUGGACACUUUGGAUGUGAAACUUUUUUUGUUCUUAUUUACAUCAUUCAACCCUUGAUGUAAAACAGGAUUUUAAUAACUUUAGUAGUCAAUAUGCUAUUAUGUAAAAUCUCCACUCCAUGUUGGUAAAACAGGAAAGGCA